Molecule: ribosomal RNA, 462 nt
Filed under: uncultured bacterium
Lineage: Bacteria
Description: partial 16S ribosomal RNA
Rfam family: Bacterial small subunit ribosomal RNA
Source: RNAcentral
GACGAACGCUGGCGGCGUGCUUAACACAUGCAAGUCGAGCGGAAAGGCCCUUCGCUUUACUCUAGCGGCGAACGGGUGGGUGACACGUUAGUAACUUGCCCUAGUCUCUGUGAUAACCCGCUGAAACGGGGGCUAAUACCGUAUACCCCUUCUAUAUCUCAAGAUUUGGUUGGCAAAGUUUUUCGGCAUGUGUUGGACUCGUGGUCUAUCAGCUUGUUGGUGGUGUAAUGGCAUACCAAGUCGCGGAUGGGUAGGCGGCCUGUGAGUGCGACCGGCGACACUGGGCCUGCGAGACGGAGCAGACUCGUACGGGAGGCAGCAGUCGGGAAUCUUGCAGAGUGGGGGGACGCCUGAUGCAGAGAUGCCCCGUGCGGGAUGAUCGCCUUCGGGUUGUAAACCACUUUCAGCAGGGCCGAAGCGUAAGUGACGGUACCUGCAGAAGAAGCGACGGCCAACUACGUG